Molecule: non-coding RNA, 156 nt
Filed under: uncultured Lachnoclostridium sp.
Lineage: Bacteria; Bacillati; Bacillota; Clostridia; Lachnospirales; Lachnospiraceae
Source: RNAcentral
AGAAAUCUUAGUAUAUCUUAGUCAAAUGUUAAUAUGGAGUGAUGAUUCGCCAUGGACGGCGAAUCAAGAUGGCACUGAGCCAGGAUGGCGAAUUGCCAUCGGUCACGGGCUUAUGAUAUACACUUUCCAUUUGACUUAGAUAUACUUGAUUUCGGA